GAUGAACGCUAGCGGGAGGCUUAACACAUGCAAGUCGAGGGGCAGCAUAAUGUAGCAAUACGUUGAUGGCGACCGGCGCACGGGUGAGUAACACGUAUGUAACCUACCCUGUACAGGGGGAUAGCCCGGAGAAAUUCGGAUUAAUACCCCAUAAAGAUAUUUGGAGGCAUCUUUGAAUAUUUAAAGCUUCGGCGGUACGGGAUGGGCAUGCGCAACAUUAGCUAGUUGGUAGGGUAACGGCCUACCAAGGCUACGAUGUUUAGGGGACCUGAGAGGGUGAUCCCCCACACUGGUACUGAGACACGGACCAGACUCCUACGGGAGGCUG
This 328-nucleotide ribosomal RNA is filed under the name uncultured Bacteroidota bacterium. RNAcentral's name for it is "bacterial SSU rRNA". It matches the Rfam family "Bacterial small subunit ribosomal RNA", at positions 28 to 351 of the family's 1533-position model. The record is from RNAcentral. Lineage: Bacteria; Pseudomonadati; Bacteroidota.